GAGUUUGAUUAUGGCUCAGAUUGAACGCUGGCGGCAUGCUUUACACAUGCAAGUCGAACGGCAGCACAGGGAGCUUGCUCCUGGGUGGCGAGUGGCGAACGGGUGAGUAAUGUAUCGGAACGUGCCUGGUAGUGGGGGAUAACUACUCGAAAGAGUGGCUAAUACCGCAUGAGAUCUUUGGAUGAAAGCGGGGGACCUUUGGGCCUCGCGCUACUGGAGCGGCCGAUAUCAGAUUAGGUUGUUGGUGGGGUAAAGGCCUACCAAGCCUGCGAUCUGUAGCUGGUCUGAGAGGACGACCAGCCACACUGGGACUGAGACACGGCCCAGACUCCUACGGGAGGCAGCAGUGGGGAAUUUUGGACAAUGGGCGCAAGCCUGAUCCAGCAAUGCCGCGUGCAGGAUGAAGGCCUUCGGGUUGUAAACUGCUUUUGUACAGAACGAAAACUCUCUGGCUAAUAUUCUGGGGAUCAUGACCG
RNAcentral lists this ribosomal RNA (476 nucleotides) under Brachymonas sp. canine oral taxon 015. RNAcentral's name for it is "bacterial SSU rRNA". It matches the Rfam family "Bacterial small subunit ribosomal RNA", at positions 9 to 475 of the family's 1533-position model. The record is from RNAcentral. Lineage: Bacteria; Pseudomonadati; Pseudomonadota; Betaproteobacteria; Burkholderiales; Comamonadaceae.